RNAcentral lists this microRNA precursor (60 nucleotides) under Limulus polyphemus (Atlantic horseshoe crab). The record is from RNAcentral. Lineage: Eukaryota; Metazoa; Arthropoda; Merostomata; Xiphosura; Limulidae.
CAUUCCAGUGAUGUAUUUACACGUCCAGCUCAGUUCUGUAAAUGCACCGUCUGGAAUGAG